AGCCCAUUCUCAAAUUUAGAUUUCUGUUUUUGUUAAGAACAGGGACUGUGGAACGAAUUUGCCUGACUUUGCCAUCAUUCUGCCAUUUCCUAGCUAUGUGGCCUCAGGCAAACUGAUUAAACUUACUGGCCUCAGAAUGGGGAAAAUUUCUGUAACUCAUGCCUGGAAUUACGUGAAGAUGAAAAGCAGGCAUGUCCAUGAGAUGCUUACAAGAGGGACCAGCGCCGUGUACCUAUUCUGUGCAUCCUACCCGUCCACUGUUCCUUCUCCGUGUUUCUUGAAGAAGCUGGAGUUUUCUUUCAGUCUUCUGCUUCUCCUGUUGCUUCCUCUAACUGAAGGAAGAAUCAGUCCAUGGCUUCUGCUCCAUGCUUUCUGCUCUUGGUUCAGGCUCCAACUUUCCCAUUAAUGGAAGAGAAUGGCUCUCCUGCUCCCAGCUGUAAUGAACUAAUUAAUUUUUCUAUCUCUCUAAUCAUUCUCUAUUCCCUGCCAAACCCUCUGGGUGUCUGUUUUGUUCUAUUGUUCAAGCCUGGACUUUGAGGGUAGGCUGGGGGCAUUGCUAGUCCCCACAAUUGCUAAUCCAGGCACUUGAGUCAUUAUCUUCUAUACAUCACACUUAACAACCAGAGGGAAGUGCAACCUCGUGGGCCUCGGAAAGGAAACCACCCACAGACUUGUGCGCCUUCUUCGCAGGCCAGGCUCUCCUUCCCCCAUGGUAAGAAGGUGAAGACUUGGAGAUUGGUGAGUCAGGCAAUCAAGGUCAAAUUGACAUACUCUAGAAGAUUACAUGCCGUGUGGAACAGUACUGGGCAGUGGACCCACUGGGACAGGGGCUCAGGAGGCUAUGGCAGUCCCGCAGGAGAUUCUGGAGUAACAGACAUCCCCAGGACCUCAGCGUUUCAUAGGAACGACAUGGCACACAUUGGUGGUGGCUGUCCUCCCAGGCAGUACCCCACAUCUUGUCUUCCGUGUUUGGGCACCCAGGCUGGAGUAGCAACCCAUCUCAGUCAAUGGCAAAGGAAGCAGGAAUGGGAGGUUCUAAUACCAUCUCACUCAUCCUUGGACCAAGGACACCUCUCCCAUGCACUAUGCCCCAUGCCUCUCUCUCACUAUGGCCCAGUCCACGCAUGGAGGUCCCAGUUGGUGCUCAGGUUCGUAGCGCCUACACGAAUAAAUGCAGUGCUGUUUACCGCCUC
Long non-coding RNA from Homo sapiens (human), 1193 nucleotides. Ensembl annotates it as long intergenic non-protein coding RNA 2102. The record is from Ensembl. NCBI's taxonomy places the organism in Eukaryota, Metazoa, Chordata, Mammalia, Primates, Hominidae.